UACGGAGGAUGCAAGCGUUAUCCGGAAUGAUUGGGCGUAAAGAGUCCGUAGGUGGCCAUUCAAGUCUGUUGUCAAAGAGCACAGCUUAACUGUGGAAAGGCAGUGGAAACUGAAAAGCUAGAGAAUGGUAGGGGUAGAGGGAAUUCCCGGUGUAGCGGUGAAAUGCGUAGAGAUCGGGAAGAACACCAGUGGCGAAAGCGCUCUGCUGGACCAUGUCUGACACUGAGGGACGAAAGCUAGGGGAGCGAAUGGG
RNAcentral lists this ribosomal RNA (253 nucleotides) under uncultured prokaryote. RNAcentral's name for it is "partial 16S ribosomal RNA". It matches the Rfam family "Bacterial small subunit ribosomal RNA", at positions 524 to 776 of the family's 1533-position model. The record is from RNAcentral.